GAGGAAUCUUCGCCAAUGGCCGCACUGCCCCAACCAGCCCAGUAGUGUGACGGAUGACUGCCCCUAGGGUUGUAAACUUCUUUUAUACGGGAAUAGUGUGCCCCAAGUGUGGGGUUUUGCAUGUACCGCAUGAAUUAGGAUCGGCUACCUCCGUGCCAGCAGCCGCGGUAAUACGGAGGAUCCGAGCGUUAUCCGGAUUUAUUGGGUUUAAAGGGUGCUCAGGCGGGGGGUUAAGUCGGCGGUGAAAUUUUGCAGCUCAACUGUAAAAGUGCCUUCGAAACUGGUUCCCUUGAGGGCGGAUGAGGGAGGCAGAAUUUGUGGUGUAGCGGUGAAAUGCAUAGAUAUCACGAGGAACACCGAUUGCGCAGGCAGCUUACCAAGCCGUAACUGACGCUCAAGCACGAAGGCGUGGGGAUCAAACA
RNAcentral lists this ribosomal RNA (422 nucleotides) under uncultured Porphyromonadaceae bacterium. RNAcentral describes it as "bacterial SSU rRNA". It matches the Rfam family "Bacterial small subunit ribosomal RNA", at positions 356 to 774 of the family's 1533-position model. The record is from RNAcentral. Lineage: Bacteria; Pseudomonadati; Bacteroidota; Bacteroidia; Bacteroidales; Porphyromonadaceae.